RNAcentral lists this ribosomal RNA (200 nucleotides) under uncultured bacterium. RNAcentral describes it as "partial 16S ribosomal RNA". It matches the Rfam family "Bacterial small subunit ribosomal RNA", at positions 29 to 256 of the family's 1533-position model. The record is from RNAcentral.
AACGAACGCUGGCGGCAUGCCUAAUACAUGCAAGUCGAACGAGAUCUUCGGAUCUAGUGGCGCACGGGUGCGUAACGCGUGGGAAUCUACCCUUGGGUUCGGAAUAACAGUUAGAAAUGACUGCUAAUACCGGAUGAUGUCGUAAGUCCAAAGAUUUAUCGCCCAGGGAUGAGCCCGCGUAGGAUUAGCUAGUUGGUGAG